RNAcentral lists this ribosomal RNA (515 nucleotides) under uncultured bacterium. RNAcentral describes it as "partial 16S ribosomal RNA". It matches the Rfam family "Bacterial small subunit ribosomal RNA", at positions 28 to 523 of the family's 1533-position model. The record is from RNAcentral.
GAUGAACGCUGGCGGCGUGCCUAAUACAUGCAAGUCGAGCGAAUGGAUUGAGAGCUUGCUCUUGUGAAGUUAGCGGCGGACGGGUGAGUAACACGUGGGUAACCUGCCCGUAAGACUGGGAUAACUCCGGGAAACCGGGGCUAAUACCGGAUAACAUUUUGAACCGCAUGGUUCGAAAUUGAAAGGCGGCUUCGGCUGUCACUUAUGGAUGGACCCGCGUCGCAUUAGCUAGUUGGUGAGGUAACGGCUCACCAAGGCAACGAUGCGUAGCCGACCUGAGAGGGUGAUCGGCCACACUGGGACUGAGACACGGCCCAGACUCCUACGGGAGGCAGCAGUAGGGAAUCUUCCGCAAUGGACGAAAGUCUGACGGAGCAACGCCGCGUGAGUGAUGAAGGCUUUCGGGUCGUAAAACUCUGUUGUUAGGGAAGAACAAGUGCUAGUUGAAUAAGCUGGCACCUUGACGGUACCUAACCAGAAAGCCACGGCUAACUACGUGCCAGCCGCCGCUGUAA